GACAGAGGGUGCAAACGUUGUUCGGAUUUACUGGGCGUAAAGCGUGUGUAGGCGGCUUCGCAAGUUGGAUGUGAAAUCCCACGGCUCAACCGUGGACGUGCAUCCAAAACUGCGUCGCUAGAGUCUCGGAGAGGAAGGUGGAAUGCUUGGUGUAGAGGUGAAAUUCGUAGAUAUCAAGCAGAACACCUGCGGCGAAGGCGGCCUUCUGGACGAUGACUGACGCUGAGACACGAAAGCGUGGGGAGCAAAAGGG
This 253-nucleotide ribosomal RNA is filed under the name uncultured bacterium. Its description in RNAcentral is "partial 16S ribosomal RNA". It matches the Rfam family "Bacterial small subunit ribosomal RNA", at positions 524 to 776 of the family's 1533-position model. The record is from RNAcentral.